This 201-nucleotide ribosomal RNA is filed under the name uncultured bacterium. RNAcentral's name for it is "partial 16S ribosomal RNA". It matches the Rfam family "Bacterial small subunit ribosomal RNA", at positions 149 to 334 of the family's 1533-position model. The record is from RNAcentral.
UUCCGAAAGGAGUGCUAACACCGCAUAAGACCACGCCUCCGAAAGGAGAAGCGGUCAAAGCUGACCUCUAUAUAUAAGUUAGCGCUUGAUGAUGAGCCCGCGGAGCAUCAGCUAGUUGGUGAGGUAAUGGCUCACCAAGGCUUAGACGCUUAGCUGGUCUGAGAGGAUGAUCAGCCACACUGGAACUGAAACACGGGCCAG